RNAcentral lists this ribosomal RNA (474 nucleotides) under Triticum aestivum (bread wheat). RNAcentral's name for it is "partial small subunit ribosomal RNA". The record is from RNAcentral. Lineage: Eukaryota; Viridiplantae; Streptophyta; Magnoliopsida; Poales; Poaceae.
AUGGGUUUUGGUAAAUUGAAUGUGAAUGCUUCUUUUGAUCAUGAUCAACUAAGGGGCACAACGGGUGUUGUUAUUAGGGAUGACAAAGGAAAUUUCAUUGUAGGUGGAAACUGGAAGAUCGAGUGUUGCGCGGAUGCUCUGAUAGUAGAGGCGCUAGCACUUAGGUUUGGCUUAUUACUGGCACAAAAGGAGGGUUGCAAUCGCCUGAUUAUCAAUUCUGACAACAUGAAAGUAAUUAACACAAUGAAAAACGGAGGUCAUUUUGCAGGAGCGGCGGCUGCAGUUUUUGAGGAUUGCUUUUUUAUGACUUGUGAUUUUUCUAUUACUAGUUUUGAGCAUUGUAAUAGAGAAGCAAACAAAGUAGCCCAUGAGCUUGCUAGAAUAGCAAAAUCCAUGGCUAGGGAUUGGAUUGAGGAGCCUAUGAAAAAUAUUGUAUCUCUCCUUAUAGAUGAUGUAACCAUUAUCUCUACUUAA